Molecule: ribosomal RNA, 497 nt
Filed under: uncultured bacterium
Lineage: Bacteria
Description: partial 16S ribosomal RNA
Rfam family: Bacterial small subunit ribosomal RNA
Source: RNAcentral
GACGAACGCUGGCGGCGUGCCUAAUACAUGCAAGUUGAGCGCUGAAGGUUGGUACUUGUACCAACUGGGUGAGCAGCGGACGGGUGAGCAACGCGUGGGGAAUCUGCCUUUGAGAGGGGGACAACAUUUGGAAACGAAUGCUAAUACCGCAUAAAAAAUUUAAACACAAGUUUUAAGUUUGAAAGAUGCAAUUGCAUCACUCAAAGAUGAUCCCGCGUUGUAUUAGCUAGUUGGUGAGGUAAAGGCUCACCAAGGCGAUGAUACAUAACCGACCUGAGAGGGUGAUCGGCCACAUUUGGACUUAGACACGGCCCAAACUCCUACGGGAAGCAGCAGUAGGGAAUCUUCGGCAAUGGACGAAAGUCUGACCGAGCAACGCCGCGUGAGUGAAGAAGGUUUUCGGAUCCUAAAACUCUGGUUGUAGAGAAGAACGUUAGUGGGAAUGGAAAGCUCACCAAGUGACGGUACCUACCCAGAAAGGCACGGCUAACUACGUG